GGAGGGCUGCGCCUGGCAGGCACAGUGGUGACAAGAUCCUCUGCCUCUGAGAGGGAUCCGGGAAGGUGCGAGACGGCGGGAAGAUGCGCCUCCCGGGAGGCAGAGGCAGGCCUGCAUUCUGACUGGGACCAAGCGCAGCGCAUGGAGGGGGCGGGAAACGGCCACCCACGGUGGGUUCUGGCACCUGGUCAAGGCUCCAAGAACCAAACCUGGAUCUACUGUGCGCAGACAAGAGCUGUACUAUCUCUCCAGGCCCAUCAGGGAGAACUCGAUGCCACUCAAUUUGAAAAGGGCACUGAAGGUGGUGAGAUGACCCAAAUCUCCGGAAGCUCCUCGCAGAGGAAGUGUGCAGGACCAGAGAGAGACCACAGCCAAGAGGGCACUGCCUGGUUUGAUCCCCGAGCACCACGGGGAGUGAUCCCUGAGCACUGCCAAGUGUGGCCACCUCCCUACCGAGGCUUCGCAUGCCAGCUACCAAACCUGCCAGCCUGUCUGUGCCGGUUCUGUCCUCCUGGUACCAGUCACCGCCAGCCUGGGCCUGGCAAGCAGAGGGCACUUGGUGAAUGACACUGAAGUGAGCAGCAGGCUGUGCCCUGCUCUCCUCCCGCCUAAGAUAUAUAUAGCGCCCACGGAGAAAUGAAUCCUGUGUCUGCAGCCCCUUCUGCAGAUCCAUCACUGAGCAGCGCUUGGUGCCGAUUUUGCAAACAGCUUGAGAUUACUGAAUUAAUUAGA
Long non-coding RNA from Sorex araneus (European shrew), 732 nucleotides. RefSeq lists it as uncharacterized. The transcript has 3 exons. The record is from RefSeq and is a predicted model, not a curated record. NCBI's taxonomy places the organism in Eukaryota, Metazoa, Chordata, Mammalia, Eulipotyphla, Soricidae.